UUUUUUUUUAUAGCAGCAUCACAUGACUAGGUGCUACCUUUUGUUUCAGCUAUCUAGCACUGUGUAGCAAAUCACCCCCAAACUUAGUGGCUUAAGACAACCACCACUGUAUUAUUUUUCACGAUUUUGUUGGUUGAUUGUCUUAGCUGGGAGGUUGUUUUCUUCCAUGUGAUGUUAUCCGGGGCUGCAGAGGUUACAUUGGGCUGGAAUGUCCAACAUGGCUUAUUCACAGGACUAGCAGUUGGUGCAGGCUGUCAGCUGGAAGCUCAGCUGGAGCUGUCAGACAGAGGACCUGGAUUCUCCUUCAUACAGCCUCUCCAUGUGGUUUGUUUCUACAGCUUGGCAGCUCAGUUCCAAGAGGAAGAAAUAGAAGGUUUUAGUCUUAAGGCCUGGGCUGGGAGAUCCCAGAAUGUAUUUCUACUGCAUUCUAUUUAUCAGAGAAGUCCUACGGUGUUCUUAGACUCAAAAGAAGGAGAAAGAAACGCCACCUCUCAAUGGAAGAAAGACACAGGCACAUGAGGAGGGAAGACAGAAAUGGUAGCAUCUUUGGAUGCCUGACAACACUUCAAAUGGGGGGUGCUCUAUAUGCCUGGGUUCUGGAAUAAGGAGGACUCAGCAGAACCCCCAGCUGACUCAUGAUAGGUGAGUCAAGUCUACCAGGUGGAGAAGACAGCUGAGAGUACCUCAUGCAGAGAGAGCAUUGUGUAAAAAGGCACAAAGAAGUCUGAGGACACCAAGGUGGGAAUGUAACAUAGCUUGAGCGGAGUGAAGCUUCAAGAAUGAACCUGGAGGAGCAAGUUGGGACUCAUUCAUAAGGGCGGCUUGCUGGCUUUGAUGAACAAGCUGCCUUAUUGGAGAGGCCCAUGUGGUAAGGAACUGAGGGUGACCUCAGGCUAGCAGCCAACAAGAAAUGAGGCCCUCCGUCCAACAGCUGUCACGGGACUGAAUCUUGCCAACAAAUGGGUCUGGAUUAAAGACUCCUCUUCUGAGCUCCCACAGAAGCCUGUCCUUCGCUAACCAUAGCACACCUCACACUGCAAUGCCACCAUCUUUCCUCUAUUAAACAGAGUUACCUGACAGCAGGAGAACAAGCUUCUACAUCUUUGUAACCCUCCCAUGCCUGGCACAGAAGAGGCUUCCCAAUAAAAGACUGUGUUAAAAUGUGUCGCC
Molecule: long non-coding RNA, 1170 nt
Filed under: Equus caballus (horse)
Lineage: Eukaryota; Metazoa; Chordata; Mammalia; Perissodactyla; Equidae
Description: lncRNA (ENSECAG00000043977.1)
Source: RNAcentral